GGGGUUGUGGCUCAGCGGUAGAGCGCACGCCUAGCAUGUGUGAGGCACUGAGGCACUGACUUCGAUCCUCAGCACCACA
This 79-nucleotide transfer RNA is filed under the name Marmota monax (woodchuck). Its description in RNAcentral is "tRNA.Ala". It matches the Rfam family "tRNA". Rfam says of the family: Transfer RNA (tRNA) molecules are approximately 80 nucleotides in length. The record is from RNAcentral. Lineage: Eukaryota; Metazoa; Chordata; Mammalia; Rodentia; Sciuridae.